CCAUUCUUAUUUUUACAAAUGUUAUAUUGAAGGUAAAUAAAUCUUUAUCUGAAUGUCUAUUUCCUCAGGAAAAUUCUUAAAACUUUAAUUUCUGAGUUGUAAGAUAUUAAGAUUUUUAGAGCUGUUUAUAUGUAUCAUCAAACUACUUUCCCAAAUGACAUACCAAUUUAUUCCAUUGGCAAUAUACAAAAAUCGCUAUAUCACUACACUCUCACCAGCCAGCAUAGAGUAUUACCUUUCAUAUUUCUUUCUAAUUUGAUAGGCAACAAAAAAAUGACAUGACAUCAUUGCUUCAAUUUGAUUUCCUUGGUUACUACUAGUAAAAUGGAAGGGUUUAUUUUUCAAUAAUGUUAUUAUACAUGUUUUCCCUGGUCUGCAAAUUCCCUAUAUAUUUCCUUUUCCAUUUUUUCGACUGGAAUCUUGCUCUUUUUAUCAAUUUACAUUCAUUAUUAUAUAUAGCAUGCUACAUAGUAAUCAUAAUCAUGUGCAGUUGUUUCUCAUUAUUCACAGUAGUUAUGUUUUAUAAAAUCACUGUAAACACUAAAUCAGUAAAUCCUGAACCAUUGUUCCUGGGGAAAUACAGAGUUAGGCUCCUAUGAGACCCAAUCACAACAUUUUUGUCAAUAAAUCAAUACAUUCAUUGUUUAUGUGUGUUUAUGUUUAGAGACACUUUAUUUAACAUGCAUUGUUGAUUCAUUAACAUUGAACUCACAGCCAAUAGCACUGUAACUCUUGCCUGAAGUAAACUAAUCUAACAUAUGUAUUUUCUCUGUAAGGCACAUCACAGCUGUCUUGUGCUCAAGAGCACUAUACAGCACUUUAGCACCACACUUGGGGGGCAUUUUAAACAGCAAAACCAUCAAGAAAAAGCACAAAAAUGUGAAAAACAUGGCACUAAAUAGACUGUGAAAAUUACAAUUAUUUAAAGUAUGAGAGCUAAGACAAAAAGAAAGAGAAUCACCUUGUUGGACCUCAUUUGGGACUGGGCACAUCAGGCAAUUCAAAUGUUAUCACUGUGUAUAUCCACAAAUGACCACAAAAGCACCACAGGUAUUGAUUUCAGGAUUACAAAUAAAUUUUAGUGAGUAGAUGAAUUCAAAAUAUAGAAUCCACAAAUGAGUAUCAACUGCAAUGGUUAUAUUUGUUGCAGUUUUCCAAUUUAUCAUUUGUAUUUCAAUGUUUUUCAUGUUUUAUAUUUAGAGAUUUUCCUUUUUAUAUAUGAAAAUAUAUAACCCCUUCCUUCAUGACCUCAUAUAUUAUUUUAAGCAUAUGCAAAAAGGAAAUAAUUUAUUCACCUACAUUAUCUUCUAUUUUUAAGUGUUUAAUAUUAUGUAUAAAACUGUUUAGAAUACCUGAAAUCUAGUUUGGUGGGUAGUGUAUUAAAUUGGGGAGGAAGGCUGGUAAGAAGCCACUACUCACCCAUCAAUGAACCUUACCUUUUGAGCCCUGUCAUUUUGGCUCCUAAUGAAGUACCCUUCUAAAUACAGGUAAGCCAGUUCCAGAUACCUGAUUCCUUGCUUUGGCUCGGAUCAGCAUCGUCUUCAGCCAUCUUUCUGAGUUUACCGACCUCAGGCUCCAGUUCUGCAGAAUUAGUUUAAACUAGUCAAAAUAGAUUUGAACUGGUCAGAACUGAUUUUUCUUUGUGAGAAAAGAUUUUAACUGGUCAUGAGCAAGUUCUAACCACUUUAAACCCAUUUGGGCCAGUUCUAUGUUGCUAAUUCAAGAACGAACCACUGAAGGGAUCAAUUAGAAUCA
RNAcentral lists this long non-coding RNA (1755 nucleotides) under Canis lupus familiaris (dog). RNAcentral describes it as "lncRNA (ENSCAFG00000052065.1, ENSCAFG00845030296.1)". Lineage: Eukaryota; Metazoa; Chordata; Mammalia; Carnivora; Canidae. The record is from RNAcentral.